AUUGAACGCUGGCGGCAGGCCUAACACAUGCAAGUCGAACGGUAACAGUAAACAGCUUGCUGUUUCGCUGACGAGUGGCGGACGGGUGAGUAAUGUCUGGGAGACUUCCUGAUGGAGGGGGAUAACUACUGGAAACGGUAGCUAAUACCGCAUAACGUCGCAAGACCAAAGAGGGGGACCUUCGGGCCUCUUGCCAUCGGAUGUGCCCAGAUGGGAUUAGCUAGUAGGUGGGGUAACGGCUCACCUAGGCGACGAUCCCUAGCUGGUCUGAGAGGAUGACCAGCCACACUGGAACUGAGACACGGUCCAGACUCCUACGGGAGGCAGCAGUGGGGAAUAUUGCACAAUGGGCGCAAGCCUGAUGCAGCCAUGCCGCGUGUAUGAAGAAGGCCUUCGGGUUGUAAAGUACUUUCAGCGGGGAGGAAGGGAGUAAAGUUAAUACCUUUACUCAUUGACGUUACCCGCAGAAGAAGCACCGGCUAACUCCGUG
Molecule: ribosomal RNA, 490 nt
Filed under: uncultured bacterium
Lineage: Bacteria
Description: partial 16S ribosomal RNA
Rfam family: Bacterial small subunit ribosomal RNA
Source: RNAcentral